UGAAACUCACAUGGACAGGCCUGGCUUU
RNAcentral lists this non-coding RNA (28 nucleotides) under Mus musculus (house mouse). The record is from RNAcentral. Lineage: Eukaryota; Metazoa; Chordata; Mammalia; Rodentia; Muridae.